GAUUUAUAAAGAAGCGCGGAGAGACAGGCUCUGUGAAGCGCUAGCAACCCUGCCAGACAGAUGGCAACGGUGCUAAAUCCUGAUCCCGGAUAAGCGGGAGAAUAUAAAUC
This 110-nucleotide non-coding RNA is filed under the name Cesiribacter andamanensis. RNAcentral describes it as "SAM-I sequence". It matches the Rfam family "SAM riboswitch aptamer (S box leader)". From Rfam's summary of the family: The SAM riboswitch is found upstream of a number of genes which code for proteins involved in methionine or cysteine biosynthesis in Gram-positive bacteria. The SAM riboswitch acts at the level of transcription termination control. The record is from RNAcentral. Lineage: Bacteria; Pseudomonadati; Bacteroidota; Cytophagia; Cytophagales; Cesiribacteraceae. RNAcentral also lists the same sequence under 1 other name.